UGCAGUCGAGGGGUAACAGUAAGUGCUUGCACUUAGCUGACGACCGGCGAACGGGUGCGUAACGCGUAUGCAAUCUACCUUUAACAGGGGGAUAGCCCAGAGAAAUCUGGAUUAAUACCCCAUAAAAUUGCGAAGACACAUGUUUUUGCACUUAAAACUUCGGUGGUUAAAGAUGAGCAUGCGUCCUAUUAGCUAGUUGGUAAGGUAACGGCUUACCAAGGUGACGAUAGGUAGGGGGCCUGAGAGGGUGAUCCCCCACACUGGUACUGAGACACGGACCAGACUCCUACGGGAGGCAGCAGUGAGGAAUAUUGGUCAAUGGACGCAAGUCUGAACCAGCCACGCCGCGUGCAGGAUGACUGCCCUAUGGGUUGUAAACUGCUUUUAUAUGGGAAGAAACCUUUGGACGUGUCCAAAUCUGACGGUACCAUACGAAUAAGCACCGGCUAACUCCGUGCCAGCAGCCGCGGUAAUACGGAGGGUGCAAGCGUUAUCCGGAAUUAUUGGGUUUAAAGGGUGCGUAGGCGGAACUUUAAGUCAGUGGUGAAAUGCCGUAGCUUAACUACGGAACUGCCAUUGAUACUAUAGUUCUUGAGUAUGAUUGAAGUGGGCGGAAUGUGUCAAGUAGCGGUGAAAUGCUUAGAUAUGACACAGAACACCAAUUGCGAAGGCAGCUCACUAAGUCACAACUGACGCUGAGGCACGAAAGCGUGGGGAGCGAACAGGAUUAGAUACCCUGGUAGUCCACGCCGUAAACGAUGAUUACUCGAUACUGGCGAUAUACGGUCAGUGUCCAAGCGAAAGUGUUAAGUAAUCCACCUGGGAAGUACGUUCGCAAGAAUGAAACUCAAAGGAAUUGACGGGGGCCCGCACAAGCGGUGGAGCAUGUGGUUUAAUUCGAUGAUACGCGAGGAACCUUACCAAGGCUUAAAUGCAGGGCGACGGAAUGGGAAACUGUUCUUUCUUCGGACGGCCUGCAAGGUGCUGCAUGGUUGUCGUCAGCUCGUGCCGUGAGGUGUCGGGUUAAGUCCCAUAACGAGCGCAACCCCUAUCUUUAGUUGCCAUCGAGUAAUGUCGGGGACUCUAGAGAAACUGCCAGUGUAAACUGUGAGGAAGGUGGGGAUGACGUCAAAUCAUCACGGCCCUUACGUCUUGGGCCACACACGUGCUACAAUGGUAAAUACAGUGAGAAGCCACCUGGUGACAGGGAGCAGAUCUAUAAAGUUUAUCUCAGUUCGGAUUGAAGUCUGCAACUCGACUUCAUGAAGUUGGAAUCGCUAGUAAUCGGAUAUCAGCCAUGAUCCGGUGAAUACGUUCCCGGGCCUUGUACACACCGCCCGUCAAGCCAUGGAAGUUGGGAGUGCCUGAAGUCGGUAACCGCAAGG
This 1385-nucleotide ribosomal RNA is filed under the name uncultured bacterium. RNAcentral describes it as "bacterial SSU rRNA". It matches the Rfam family "Bacterial small subunit ribosomal RNA". The record is from RNAcentral.